Cannabis sativa is the source of this 499-nucleotide long non-coding RNA. RefSeq lists it as uncharacterized. The transcript has 3 exons. Lineage: Eukaryota; Viridiplantae; Streptophyta; Magnoliopsida; Rosales; Cannabaceae. The record is from RefSeq and is a predicted model, not a curated record.
AAUGGUCUUUUUAGACCCUUAAUUUAUGUUUAAUAAAAGAAUGAUUUUAAGGAAAAGAGAAUUAUUUUUCUAGUUUUCCUUCAGCCCUAAAACCGUACCCCUCCUCUCCUCUUCACUUAUUUCUUAAAUGUUUAGAUUUUUGUAGAUUGUUCUUGAAUUGAAGGUUUUGUAAAGUUGAAUUUCUUGUGGAUAGAAGCUUGAAGUUGUGGAUUACCGGCACCUGGUCAGGAGCACCCGGGGAUUUGGAAUCUCUACUAUUGCGGGACAACAGGAAAGGGUAAGGCAUUAGCUGAUCUGCCAUGAGUUUCAGGAGCAGACGAAGAAUGUACAUGUUCACGCCACUUCAGACCAAGCGGGUUAUGGGUCUAACAGUGUUGACUUUUGUAUUCUGUUUUGCCGCUUAGGUCGGCUAGUAAGAAAGAACUUGUAAUAAGUUGUAAAUAUUUUUGGGAUCCCAACUAUUUUGAAAAGUUUAAAUAUAUUACAAGUUUUAUUUUCA